CAGCCGCCGCGGUAAUACGGAGGGGGCUAGCGUUGUUCGGAAUUACUGGGCGUAAAGCGCACGUAGGCGGCUUGGUAAGUUAGAGGUGGAAGCCUGGAGCUCAACUCCAGAAUUGCCUUUAAGACUGCCGAGCUAGCAGGUGAGAGAGGUAAGUGGAAUUCCGAGUGUAGAGGUGAAAUUCGUAGAUAUUCGGAAGAACACCAGUGGCGAAGGCGGCUUACUGGCUCAUACUGGACGCUGAGGUGCGAAAGCGUGGGGAGCAAACAGGAUUAGAUACCCGAGUAGUCCCUGUCUCUUAUAC
This 301-nucleotide ribosomal RNA is filed under the name uncultured bacterium. RNAcentral describes it as "partial 16S ribosomal RNA". It matches the Rfam family "Bacterial small subunit ribosomal RNA", at positions 509 to 807 of the family's 1533-position model. The record is from RNAcentral.